Molecule: ribosomal RNA, 506 nt
Filed under: uncultured bacterium
Lineage: Bacteria
Description: partial 16S ribosomal RNA
Rfam family: Bacterial small subunit ribosomal RNA
Source: RNAcentral
AUUGAACGCUGGCGGCAGGCCUAACACAUGCAAGUCGAACGGUAACAGGAAACAGCUUGCUGUUUCGCUGACGAGUGGCGGACGGGUGAGUAAUGUCUGGGAAACUGCCUGAUGGAGGGGGAUAACUACUGGAAACGGUAGCUAAUACCGCAUAACGUCGCAAGACCAAAGAGGGGGACCUUCGGGCCUCUUGCCAUCGGAUGUGCCCAGAUGGGAUUAGCUAGUAGGUGGGGUAACGGCUCACCCAGGCGACGAUCCCUAGCUGGUCUGAGAGGAUGAACAGCCACACUGGAACUGAGACACGGUCCAGACUCCUACGGGAGGCAGCAGUGGGGAAUAUUGCACAAUGGGCGCAAGCCUGAUGCAGCCAUGCCGCGUGUAUGAAGAAGGCCUUCGGGUUGUAAAGUACUUUCAGCGGGGAGGAAGGGAGUAAAGUUAAUACCUUUGCUCAUUGACGUUACCCGCAGAAGAAGCACCGGCUAACUCCGUGCCAGCAGCCGCCGUAA